GGAGAGGUGCCCGGAGUGGUUUAUCGGGGACCGGUUCGCUGGUCGGGUGGUUCGCCGCCCGCGCAGGUUCGAAUCCUGCCCUCUCCG
This 87-nucleotide transfer RNA is filed under the name Streptomyces sp. SolWspMP-5a-2. RNAcentral describes it as "tRNA_Pseudo_Pseudo". It matches the Rfam family "tRNA". From Rfam's summary of the family: Transfer RNA (tRNA) molecules are approximately 80 nucleotides in length. The record is from RNAcentral. RNAcentral also lists the same sequence under 6 other names. Lineage: Bacteria; Bacillati; Actinomycetota; Actinomycetes; Kitasatosporales; Streptomycetaceae.